Molecule: long non-coding RNA, 1366 nt
Organism: Acinonyx jubatus (cheetah)
Lineage: Eukaryota; Metazoa; Chordata; Mammalia; Carnivora; Felidae
Exons: 3
Source: RefSeq, a predicted model, not a curated record
UGGGCUGCGAAGAGUAAGCAAAGGAGAAUGACGGUCUUUCAUCAUUGUAUUAGCAAAGAAUCCUGAAAUCGGAUUCAUGUGGCCUGGGGAUGCCGGGGAGUCGCUGAAGACACUUGGGGAAGGCGCUUUAUUUUCAUAUCUGUGAUAAUGCGACUCGCCCCAGCACGUCGUGGCAAAGCUCCAGUGAGGCAAAGCACCUUGUCAACGCUGGAGAACCACGCACGUUUGACAGGUGGCUGCGGCUACAGUUGCCUGUUUUGUUUUCUCCUUUGGUCUUUUCCUGUGAGGGUGAGAUUUGGCCAUGCUCUCACUGGGUGUUCAUCCUCCUGCAUCCGGGGCUCAUCGCCGGGGUCCCUGAGUCUAGCUCCGCAAGAAAUGAUUGAAUGUCGACACUGCCAGGGGGACAAUGAUGCUUCCUUCACGAGCUUAUGAUUACGGAUAAAUGAAAUAAUACGCAAGGCACAGUGUUGGGACAUUGUGGACGCUUGGUGGGACAACCGCAGCGCAGGGAGCCCAGGGGACUCACCGGACGUCCCACGGCCAGGCCGGCCAGGUGGGCAGUGCCCGGCUGGCACCACCUCUCAGGCUAGUGCCUUUGACCCCGGGGGCGGGCACAGCCAGCUCCAGCUGUUCGCACUGCUUGCCCGGUGGUAAGCAUGGGCUGUCAAAUUCCAGCUCUGCAGACACACGAUGGCAGGUGCUCACCCGCUGGUGAUGCCCCGAGAGGUGGAGCACUGCCCACCUGUGUGGAGGACAGCGUGCGAUCCUCUGGCCCGGGAGGCUCCGAGCCAGCAGGUUAGUGAGAGAGCUGAUCACAGAGGGGGAGAAACUCCUGGCAUGGCGGGAACCAAGGGAUUUUUGUGGGAGGGAGACGACAAGGUGGGGACACAGAAGGCUGUUCUCAUUCUGUUUUGUGUCUACAAUUGGUGAGACGGUGAGGGCUCCUUCAAAUGUCCAUAUGCUAAUAAGUACCACAGCACGUAUGUACACACAUAUAUUUGUCUGCAUAGUUUUUCUAUUCGAAAAGUAACAUGCUUGUUGUAAAUAGCUUGGAAGUACAGAAAUGAGAAAAGGCAACUUCCCAUGUUUUCGACAUAAAGGGACGAAGAUUAUUAACCACACAGGUACAUUCCCAUGUUUUCCUAUGUAUUGUUUUACCCAGGUGGGUUCAUAGUGAGUCUAACCUUUUAUAUCUUGCUUGUUUCACUUACCAGGUGCAUUUUCCAUGUUAUUACACAUUCUUUCUUUUCUUUUUAAAAAAUGUUCAUUUUUGAGAGAAGGAGCAUGAGCAGGGGAGGGGUGGAGAGAGAGGGGGACAGAGGAUCUGAAACGGGCCCUGCGCCGAGAUCAGAGAGCCUGAUGCGGG